Alnus glutinosa is the source of this 382-nucleotide long non-coding RNA. RefSeq lists it as uncharacterized. NCBI's taxonomy places the organism in Eukaryota, Viridiplantae, Streptophyta, Magnoliopsida, Fagales, Betulaceae. The record is from RefSeq and is a predicted model, not a curated record. The transcript is spliced from 2 exons.
CAUGGCAGUACCAGCACCAUGUGUUGGUAAUCAGUCUUCUCCUGCACACGUAGGUAGUACGUCGUCCGUUGGUAGUGCAUCUGCAGGUAAUUCGACAACGGUUGGUACGUUGUCGCCUGUUGGACGACAGCUGAGCCAGCACUCCACUGUCGCUACACCUUCGCCCGCUACACCAUUCAUUGCGCAGCAAUCGCCGGUGGGCGAGAACACGCCUGGGACGGUACCUCGUGAUUCGCAGAGACGCCUUUCAGAUUUGUAGAUAUUUUGUGUAAUUAUUUUUUGUUCGUAAAUAUUUGCUUGUUAACGAAUAUGUUAUUAAUUAUUUGUUUGUGUAGUAUGAUUUCGUGUUGGUUUUGGGUAAAAUAAAUGCUGCGUUAUUUGU